CUACAAACCCGAACUAUCGUUUCAACUUUGCGUUGGAAAGGAAAGUCUGGACAGCAAAGAGCAACCCACCGGUGAAAAGCCGGCUAACAGUUUUCUGUUAAGAGAAAGUGCCACAGAAAAUAACCGCCUUCGGGUAAGGGUGAAAAUGUGAGGUAAAAGCUCACGGCUCCGUAUGGUAACAUGCAGGGCGGGUAAACCUUGGGUGCUGUAAUGCCACGUAUAGAGCCGUU
Molecule: RNase P RNA, 230 nt
Filed under: Bacteroidota bacterium
Lineage: Bacteria; Pseudomonadati; Bacteroidota
Description: partial RNase P RNA component class A
Rfam family: Bacterial RNase P class A
About the family: Ribonuclease P (RNase P) is a ubiquitous endoribonuclease, found in archaea, bacteria and eukarya as well as chloroplasts and mitochondria. Its best characterised activity is the generation of mature 5'-ends of tRNAs by cleaving the 5'-leader elements of precursor-tRNAs.
Source: RNAcentral